GCCGCCGUAGCUUACAAAAAGUUUAAUAUUGAAAAUAUUAGGACGGAUCUUUAAAAAUCCCGAGGGCA
This 68-nucleotide transfer RNA is filed under the name Gadiculus argenteus (silvery cod). Its description in RNAcentral is "tRNA-Phe". Lineage: Eukaryota; Metazoa; Chordata; Actinopteri; Gadiformes; Gadidae. RNAcentral also lists the same sequence under 1 other name. The record is from RNAcentral.